AGCUGAUGAUGUGUACAAUCCUGAAGAAUAGCUUUAAAAUGCUCCCAAGCAUGAUAUAAAUUCUCAUCUCGCUUUUGUUUGAAGCACACAAUCUCACUUCAAAGUU
This is a non-coding RNA of Capsicum annuum, 106 nucleotides long. The record is from Rfam. NCBI's taxonomy places the organism in Eukaryota, Viridiplantae, Streptophyta, Magnoliopsida, Solanales, Solanaceae.